Oreochromis aureus is the source of this 982-nucleotide long non-coding RNA. RefSeq lists it as uncharacterized. NCBI's taxonomy places the organism in Eukaryota, Metazoa, Chordata, Actinopteri, Cichliformes, Cichlidae. The transcript has 3 exons. The record is from RefSeq and is a predicted model, not a curated record.
UGUUCAUUUGAGCUUAGCUCUGCUUUUAACUUACUCGAUUCUCUUCCCCUUCUCCUCAGAGAACCAGCUGGAAAGCCUGCCCGCAACUUGCUCGCUCACCUUCUUUGCCCACUCUCACCCCACAUGCUGGAACGCUUACCUGCCUCACACAGCCAAGUGCUGCCACCAUUAAUCCUGUGGAGAGAAGGAGAAAGUGUUUGGUCUGGAAACUGGGCAAUUUAGAAGUGGUUUCCAGAAGGAGCAGAUCGGAUUCUUUGUGAGCGGGAAAACAGAAUCUUGUACUUGUUGUAUACAGAGAUCCUGAGUCAUUAGUGGUUCGCCUCCAAUGAUAAUUCAGUUCAGUUCAGCCAGAUAAUUUUGAUUUAGAUGAAAGCAAUGAGCUGACAGAGGGCUCCUUUUUCCCCCCUGGUCUUGUAUGUGUUCAAAAGGAAAAGAAAGCAAAAGAAAUGAACCUCUAAGAUGAUGGUGAUGCAAAGGAUCGGGUAAUUGUUGGAGCCGUGUGGAGCUGCUGAUGACAAAGGAAAUGAAAAUACAGGAGUUGUUUUCACACUGUAGACUGUACAUAAAAGAUGGAUGCAACCACUCUAACAUCACCCAGUGGAUUCUGUCAGUAGUUGCUGAUUGCUUAAAAUCGGUUAACAGCAUUGCACUUUAUGGAUACAGAUUGUUAACUAAUCUUGCUAGUGUUAGCACUUCCACCGAGGACUGUAUAUUAAAGAUGGACAUACCCACUAUGACAUCACCUGUUGGUUUCUUGAAAGGCCCAGUGUCAGCAUUUUGGCUGUCAAAAGCCAGAAGUAACAAUGUAGAGGCUGAAAUGGUCCAUCAAUAAAUCCAAAAAUAUCUGCUAAUUAGCGCUAAAUAACAGAUAAAAACUGUAUAUUUAAUAAGACAGCAGUCGGAAUUUCCAAGUUCCCAGUCAGUCAGUUUAAUCUGAAAUAACCCAUCAACUCAAAUUUCCCUCUCAGAAAAUCAGACCAGC